Molecule: ribosomal RNA, 1973 nt
Filed under: Rhodopirellula sp.
Lineage: Bacteria; Pseudomonadati; Planctomycetota; Planctomycetia; Pirellulales; Pirellulaceae
Description: bacterial LSU rRNA
Rfam family: Bacterial large subunit ribosomal RNA
Source: RNAcentral
UGUGGUCAAGUGUAUAAGGGCGCUCGGGGGAUGUCUUGGCAUAAGAAGGCGAUGAAGGGCGUGGAAGUCUGCGAAAAGCCUGGGGUAGUUGACAAACAAACGUUGAUCCCGGGAUUCCUGAAUGACAUAUGUUGAAUUCAUAGGCAUAUGUGGCAAACCUGGUGAACUGAAACAUCUAAGUAACCAGUGGAAGAGAAAGAAAAAUCGAUUCCCUUAGUAGCGGCGAGCGAACAGGGAAGAGCCCAAACCCAGAGGGUUUCCUUCUGGGGGUUGUAGGGCAGUUCGAAUGGCCUAGCUGAACGUGUAGUGGAAUUUUCUGGAAAGUAAUACCACAGAGGGUGACAGUCCCGUACACGAAACGCAAGUAAGCUUGGUCGAACUGUUCCUGAGUAGGUCGGGUCACGUGAAACCCCGACUGAAUCUACGGGGACCAUCCCGUAAGGCUAAAUACUCUCUUAUGACCGAUAGUGAACUCAGUAGGNUGACUGAAAGAUGGAAAGAACCCCUGUUAGGGGAGGUAUUGAACCUGAAACCGAGUGCCUACAAGCGGUCGGAGCACUAUGAUUUUAAUCAGUGUGACGGCGUGCCUUUUGCAUAAUGAUCCGGCGAGUUACUGUUUGCGGCAGGCAAAGGCCUUUCGGGCCACAGCCAGAGGGAAACCGAGUCUUAAUAGGGCGAAUUAUUGUCGUAAGUAGUAGACGCGAAACUGCGUGAUCUACCCAUGGGCAGGUUGAAGCGCGGGUUAUACCGCGUGGAGGACCGAACCCACUAGGGUUGAAAACCUAGGGGAUGACCUGUGGGGAGGAGUGAAAGUCUAAUCAAACGCAGAGAUAGCUCGUUCUCUCCGAAAUAGCUUUAGGGCUAGCCUUGAGCCACUACGUACCGGGGGUAGAGAUACUGAAUUGGAUGGGGGCCCUUCCCAGGGUACCCCACCGAACCAAACUCCGAAUACCGGUACGAUUAUCUCAGGAGUCAGUCCGCGGGGGAUAAGCUUCGCGGUCGAGAGGGAAACAACCCAGACCAUCUGCUAAGGUCCCUAAGUAAUACUAAGUCACUAAGGAAGUGAUGUUGCUGAGACAGCUAGGAUGUUGGCUUAGAAGCAGCCACCAUUUAAAAAGUGCGUAACAGCUUACUAGUCGAGCAAUNUCGCGCCGAUAAUGAACGGGAGUAAGUAUUACACCGAAGCAGUGGAUUCCAGUUUAACUGGAGUGGUAGGAGAGCGCUGUACAUCAGAUACGAGCCGUACGGAAACGAACGGUGGUGGGGUGUACAGGUGAUUAUGCCGGAAUGAGUAACGAUAAAGCAGGUGAGAAUCCUGCUCGCCGAAAGCCUAAGGUUUCCUGGGGAAGGCAAUUCCGCCCAGGGUUAGCCGGUACCUAAGUCGAGGCUGAAAAGCAUAGACGAUGGAUAGCAGGUCAACAUUCCUGCGCUACCUUAAUCGUUGUCCGAUGGAGGGACGGCGUCCAAAAAACUUAACGGGUGAUAGAAUACCCGUGUGCCAGACUGAGCUGGGGAGUUUAAACACUCCCGGAAAGCAAGGGAAAUGGCAGCAUCCCGAUUAUGUUGGAGAACUAGGUUGGAAGGACGUCCAAGAAAAGCUUCUAAGGCAGAUUAAGGUAACCGUACUAAAACUGACACAGGUAGGCGGGUCGAGUAGACUAAGGCGCUCGGGAGAACGGUGGUUAAGGAACUCUGCAAAAUGGCCCCGUAAGUUCGCGAUAAGGGGUGCCGCUGGAGGUGAGAGCGUCCGGCGGCCACAGAAAAUCGGCUCCUGCGACUGUUUAUCAAAAACACAGGACUCUGCCAACUCGUAAGAGGACGUAUAGAGUCUGACGCCUGCCCGGUGCCGGUAGGUUAAGGAAGACGGUUAUCCCAUUAGGGAGAAGCUGGCGACCGAAGCCCCGGUAAACGGCGGCCGUAACUAUGACGGUCCUAAGGUAGCGAAGUUCCUUGUCGGGUAAGUUCCGACCUGC